RNAcentral lists this transfer RNA (87 nucleotides) under uncultured Desulfobacteraceae bacterium. Its description in RNAcentral is "tRNA-Ser". It matches the Rfam family "tRNA". Rfam says of the family: Transfer RNA (tRNA) molecules are approximately 80 nucleotides in length. Lineage: Bacteria; Pseudomonadati; Thermodesulfobacteriota; Desulfobacteria; Desulfobacterales; Desulfobacteraceae. The record is from RNAcentral.
GGAGGGAUGGCCGAGUGGUUGAAGGCGGCGGUCUUGAAAACCGUUGAGCCAAUGGCUCCGUGGGUUCGAAUCCUACUCCCUCCGCCA